RNAcentral lists this ribosomal RNA (383 nucleotides) under uncultured cyanobacterium. RNAcentral describes it as "bacterial SSU rRNA". It matches the Rfam family "Bacterial small subunit ribosomal RNA", at positions 376 to 774 of the family's 1533-position model. The record is from RNAcentral. Lineage: Bacteria; Bacillati; Cyanobacteriota.
CGAAAGCCUGACGGAGCAAUGCCGCGUGGAGGAAGACGGCCCGUGGGUUGUAAACUCCUUUUCUCAGAGAAGAAGAAGUGACGGUAUCUGAGGAAUAAGCAUCGGCUAACUCCGUGCCAGCAGCCGCGGUAAUACGGAGGAUGCAAGCGUUAUCCGGAAUCAUUGGGCGUAAAGCGUCUGUAGGUGGCUUUGUAAGUCCGCUGUGAAAGAGUACAGCUUAACUGUAACUAGGCAGUGGAAACUAUGAGGCUGGAGUGUGGUAGGGGUAGAGGGAAUUCCCGGUGUAGCGGUGAAAUGCGUAGAUAUCGGGAAGAACACCAACGGCGAAAGCACUCUGCUGGGCCAACACUGACACUGAGAGACGAAAGCUAGGGUAGCCAAUG